GGCUUUCGUACAUACUUUGGAGAAUUUUUUUGGUGAUUCAUUCUUAGGGUUUCUGGGAAUAGAAAGAAUUAAGCUAAAGAUUCUUUGGUGGUCCUGUUUGAGGUGGUGUGGGAAAUUUAUACCUACCCCUAAUCUGGUUCCUUGUUGCUCUUAUACUGAUUUUCAUUGUAAAUUAAUUCCCACUUUUUUAUUUAUAAUUCUUUGUUCAUGUUAGUUGCAUUGGCUUUAAUUUUUUUUAUCUGCUGGGUUAUGUCACUUCAAGAAUAUGGAACCUUUUGGGUUAGAGAAUUUGUUAGGUUGGUUAUAUAUUGAUUAAUUUAUUUUGGCUUUAUAAUGCAAUGGGUUUCUAUUACAUCAAUCAAUGAGUGUAUUCUUCACUAAUAUUUUAUUUAAGUUAAAUGUCCAAUGUGACAGGCUUACCAGGAUUCAACCA
RNAcentral lists this unclassified non-coding RNA (433 nucleotides) under Hevea brasiliensis (rubber tree). Lineage: Eukaryota; Viridiplantae; Streptophyta; Magnoliopsida; Malpighiales; Euphorbiaceae. The record is from RNAcentral.